Xiphophorus hellerii (green swordtail) is the source of this 3900-nucleotide long non-coding RNA. RefSeq lists it as uncharacterized. Lineage: Eukaryota; Metazoa; Chordata; Actinopteri; Cyprinodontiformes; Poeciliidae. The record is from RefSeq and is a predicted model, not a curated record. The transcript has 2 exons.
UCUCAUGUUCCAGUACAGCAUGUGAUCUCUGUAGCUGCAUGUUGGUGCAAAAAAAGUGGGGGGAGGGGUUGUUUCUCCAUGCUUACCACCAUUUUAAGUCGCCCAUGAGAACAUAGGAAACAGCCAUCGAGUGCUCAAUCAGCGGGGUGACUUUCGGGUGAAUUGUACCACCAACCUCAAUUCAGGACUGACCGACAGUGAGGCGUGCCUCAGUAGAGCCGAGAUCUUCUGUGCUGAACAAGGUGUGGUGAACCCUUUGAAAAACCUGUUCCCGCCCUCGCCUGUGGUGGCGCUGCACCGAGAACCACUGAAUGAAACAACUUGAAAAGCUCUGAAGAAGACACUGAGCGCAACAUCCUUCUUUAUGAAAUGUAAACAAAAUGGAAAGGCGUCAGCUUAGUGGUUCUAGGAUUUCUUUUUUGUCUUUGGUAAAAGACAAUGAGCCGUUUCUCCUGCUAGGGCUAAACACACAUUUGUUGUGCUUGUAUUUACCCAGAAUGCCCUGCACUAUAGUUUCACUUCCUGUUUUUGAAGGGACCUCCGAUCCACUAGCAUUUACAUAUGCAUUCAAACCGCAACAUAGUUCACUUCAACCAAACCGAGAUCUAGAUUUUUAAGCGAACCAGAGUUCACUUUUUUGGUCUGUAUCAAAGUUCAAUUACACAUUCACAAAUGAAUGAACUUCAAUUCAAUGAACUAGAGUUCAGUUAAAAUUGACUCAACAGGGCUGCAAACACAAAGUACAAUCCUAUCCGCACUCAACUUAAACCUCAACAUAAUACAUUCCAUCAAGUGUACACAUUCAUAUUCAUUCAAUUUGAUCCAAACCCAGCAGUUCUGAAUCUCCUUUCUGCACAGGUUUUACUGUAGCAGGUCUAAUUUAAUAUCUAGUGAGCUCAGCCAGAGUGGAUUGGAGCUUUUCUGCCUCCAUGCUCACUUCUUCCCCCUGACCAUUUGCACCUGGAAUUUGUCCUGCCAGUCAUCAGCUGCUUGGCUUUGUGUACUCAGUGCCUGCAAUCUACUCAGACCUGCUGUUGGAGGACUGCCUUGGCAGAACCCUUUUUCUGGAACAUUAGAUCUGUUUGACCAAAUCACAAUCUGCCUGCACUGCUUCUCGAACGUUAGAUGGUAGUUUAAAGUGGAAUUAUGAAGGUAAAAUAAUAUUGAUUUCUGUUUUGGGGAAGCAUUUCAAUUACAGAAAGAUAUUUAUUGUAUUGUUUUUGUAUUUACAUCCAAGACGAAGAGGAGUAGUUAAUAUCCUACUGCCUCAUGCUGUAUUUUACAUAUUUAAGUCUCCAUGUAUUUAAUCAUAUCCAGCUCUCUCCAUUAUCAUGCUUCCUGCUGCCAACUCUUGUUGUUGCCCCGGGGAAGCAUUGCUUCUCACCUGUCAGAAUGAAGUUUUGAGAAAAGGUUGUGAUUCAGCUGGAUUCACAUGUUCGCUCCCCGUGUGAAGGACAUGCUUUUUCCGGGUGACUGAAAAACAUCUAAACUUGGGGUCAGAUGAGGAAAGCAGCCAUUUCAAUUUUCUGUUGAUCAGUGCCAAAAAUGAGUCUUAUAAGAAGUCUACAACAGAGCUACGUUUGAACUUUUGUAGUUCUAAUUUUUCCUAUAUUAUUGUGGAAAGUCCAGUUACAACAAAAACAUAAAAUUUAUUCUUUACUCCUGAAAUUUUCUUUUUUAAAAUUUAUAAAUUGUCUGUUUGAUCAACCAAACUAGAACUUGCGAGGCAAGAUUUCAUUUACAAAGAGGACAAAUCUAUCCAAACUACGCUGUUGUAGAAGUAAUGUACCAGCCUUCACAUUAAUAACUACCAUCAUGUGUUUUCUGUGCUUGGUUAUAAGUAUUUUAUCUUUACUGUGGAAGAUUCUUGGUUCAAUCUUCUUUUGACAAUUUUUUGAAUUCAUUCCCAUUGGAGGAUUUUUUAAACAUGAUCAAGCUCCUUAACAUCACAGCAGAGCAUCAGUUCAGACUUUGACUAGGCCACUUCAAUAUCUUACCUAAGCGACAGUACGUACAGAUUAGUUCAUCAUAAAUAAAUAACUCUAACUUUUUUAUCAACCUAAACACCAAUACUUGUUUUUGUACGUCUAAAACAAAUAAAGUGCUAUAAGUUGUGCUCCUAUAGGGUUCAGUUUCAAUCCUGGGUGACAAACAAGCAUCUGUAUAUACUGUAAGGUAGUCCAGAAGAACAAACAUUGUGUGAAGUUUGACUCUUACGUGUCCUUCCUCCCACACCGCCCUCUCUAAAUCCAUAAACAUAUAAACAUUCUCAACGUCCUGGUGGAUUUAAGCUGCUAUUCUUUUCUAUCAGGCUCCUUUAAGACUUUUCAUCCCUGCAGCCUAAUUUUGUUUGGCCGCUGAUCUAUCAGAUCUAUGCCAGAUGUCAGAACCUACUUAACCCAGAGACCUAAGAGCUACUCCAAUCAUUGAUUUGUUUAAAAUCAAUGCCACAGGAAAACUUCAUCCACUAAAAUCCAAUCCAAACAUGGGGGAGCUGUUCCUGAAAAACUGGUUUGAUUGUCAUUUGACUGAUGGCUUUAAAAGGUGGGAGACAUAAAACUCUAUAAAGAGUUUUAUAGAGUUUUAUACUCUAUAAAGAGUUUUAUGAUGAGUUGCCCAGGUAGAUUAUUCAAUACAAAGAAAGAAGGAUACUGAGGGGAAAUGCCGCACCCCAGCUCUGAAACAGCUGCUGUCUGUUUGCAACCUUAAAGUGCUACAGUGUGGAGGAGGACAGAUUGUACCGACAGGUGCUUCUCAGCAGUUCUCUGUUUCUAAAUGGAAACCCACGCCAACCCCCACCUGCAGCUUUAUUCCUGAUAUGGCCCAGACCUUCUAUUAUCUCAGCAUUAAAUUAGUCUUCUCUGUCAGACUCUGUUCACAACUUUUUCUUGUAGACAGAAACCACAACUGAAACUGAUCUGUGUGUUUCCAGACUCAUUUUCUAUAUAACUUCAAUCAUUUGUGAUAAAGCUAGUGAUGAAAAUAUUUUAAUUUGUUUUAUAGACCAGCUUGUUUGCACUCACCUUUUCAGAUCUGAGCACAAAUUCUAUAGGAAUGAGAUUAAAGCUUUUUAUGAUGCCUUCUGUGUAUAAAUGUAUCCCCCCUUAGAUGUUUUACCCUUUUUCUGGUUUUUACAAAUUAAUUAUGAUCAACAUAAUUCAGCUUUUUUGACAAAAAAAUUACCAAUAACUUUAAUUUCAAUGUUAAAACAUGAGUGUGUCUCAAUGUCUGUAGCAGCAGGCCCCUGAAGGUUUGUAAAGGUAAAAGUUAAAAUGAAUGCAGCAAAAUCCUAGAGGACAAUUCAUUUCCAUCUGUAAGAGAACAUUGACUUUAUACAACAUUUAAUUUACAGAAAGAAAACAACCCGAAGCUUUCAGCUAAUGUUACACAGCUCUAGAGUGGCCCAGUCAAAGUUCAGAUUUCAAUCUGUUAGGGAAUCUGUUAAAGGGAUUGAAAAGGGUUGUUCACAGAUGAUCCACAUGCAACCUGGCAGAGCUGGAACAGUUAAGAAGAAUAUAGGAAAAUGAUACCAUCCAGCUGAGCAGCCUGACUGAGACAGAUCUGUACAGACAUCUACAGAUCUGUAGAUGCAUCUUGAACAUUUUUAGAAAUGCUUAGGUAAAAUAUACAAAUUUGGAAUACUUUCUAUAGGCAAUGUAAUUGCUUGAAUUCAUUUUGGAUUUCAAACUUUAAAGAGAUUUGUGUCCUUGUUUUAAUAUAUUUUUCUGACAAUAUUAAAAAUAUAAGAUGUUUUACUUAUUGCAAAUAGUUGUUAAGUAUUAAUACAGCUUUGCAUAGUCAUUGUUUUACCUUGGAUGAUUACAUGAGAAGUCAAUAUCGCUCUGACAGACACAGAAUCAAGUAGAUCUAAUUAAAAUAAAUCCCCGAAUGCUUAUCUGA